This 1588-nucleotide ribosomal RNA is filed under the name human gut metagenome. RNAcentral describes it as "bacterial LSU rRNA". It matches the Rfam family "Bacterial large subunit ribosomal RNA", at positions 1097 to 2539 of the family's 2925-position model. The record is from RNAcentral.
GAUGUUGGCUUAGAAGCAGCCAUUCAUUUAAAGAGUGCGUAAUAGCUCACUGGUCAAGUGGUAAUGCGCCGAAGAUGAACGGGGCUAAAUCUGAUACCGAAACUGUGGGAUAGAAAAGCAAUUAUGCGAGAAGUAUGAAGUAAAAGUGAUUAGGAAAUAUAUCAACUAGUAAAGUAAGAGAGAAAGACAUAAAACAAAAUUUGUGAAAAUACAAAGCGUAAAACUAUUAAACGAUACAAUUUCUAAAACUUAACAACAUACAACUGGCAUAAUAGCUUUUCUAUCGGUAGAGGAGCGUUGUAUAUGAGAAGAAGCAAAAAGCGUAAGCAAUUGUGGAUUAUAUACAAGUGAGAAUGCUGGCAUGAGUAGCGAAAAGGGAUGUGAGAAUCAUCCCCGUCGAAAGCCCAAGGAUUCCUGAGCAAGGCUCGUCCUCUCAGGGUAAGUCGGGACCUAAGGCGAGGCCGAAAGGCGUAGUCGAUGGACAACAGGUAGAAAUUCCUGUACUACAAGAUUGUGAUUGAGAGAAGUACUGACGCAGAAGGAAAAGUCGAGCGUGCGAAUGGUUGUGCACGUCCAAAUAACAAGCCAGAAUAUACAGGCAAAUCCGUAUAUUCGUCAACGUAAGUUAUGAUGGGGAGCAGAAAGAUGCGAAGCGACAGAUUCAAACUGCCAAGAAAAGGUGCUAUCGAAUAAUCUUGUACCCGUACCGCAAACCGACACAGGUAGGCAAGAAGAGAAUUCUAAGACGCGCGGAAGAACCUUUGUUAAGGAACUCGGCAAAAUAAUCCCGUAAGUUAGCGAGAAGGGAUGCCUAAGAAAUUAGGUCGCAGAGAAUAGGCCCAAGCGACUGUUUACCAAAAACACAAGUUUCUGCAAAAUCGAAAGAUGAAGUAUAGGAGCUGACACCUGCCCGGUGCUGGAAGGUUAAGGGGAAGGCUUAGCAUAAGCGAAGGCUAGAACUUAAGCCCCAGUAAACGGCGGCCGUAACUAUAACGGUCCUAAGGUAGCGAAAUUCCUUGUCAGGUAAGUUCUGACCCGCACGAAUGGCGUAAUGACUUGGGCACUGUCUCAACUGCAAAUCCGGCGAAGUUGUAGUGCGAGUGAAGAUGCUCGCUACCCGCGAUUGGACGGAAAGACCCCGUAGAGCUUUACUGUAGCUUAGCAUUGAGUUUCGAUAUUGUCUGUACAGGAUAGGUGGGAGACUGAGAAGCUAGGGCGUCAGCCUUAGUGGAGUCAACCUUGGGAUACCACCCUGACAGUAUUGGGAUUCUAACCGGACGCCAUGAAUCUGGUGACGGGACAUUGUUAGGUGGGCAGUUUGACUGGGGCGGUCGCCUCCUAAAAAGUAACGGAGGCGCCCAAAGGUUCCCUCAGAACGGUCGGAAAUCGUUCGAAGAGUGCAAAGGCAGAAGGGAGCCUGACUGCGACACCCACAAGUGGAGCAGGGACGAAAGUCGGGCUUAGUGAUCCGGUGGUACCUCGUGGGAGGGCCAUCGCUCAACGGAUAAAAGCUACCUCGGGGAUAACAGGCUGAUCUCCCCCAAGAGUCCACAUCGACGGGGAGGUUUGGCACCUCGAUGUCGGCUCG